RNAcentral lists this long non-coding RNA (921 nucleotides) under Homo sapiens (human). Its description in RNAcentral is "HSALNT0022517". Lineage: Eukaryota; Metazoa; Chordata; Mammalia; Primates; Hominidae. The record is from RNAcentral.
GCACAUUGAGUAUGAUUUGACCCACACCCCAUACCCACCAGGGGUGGCUCAGCCUGGUACUCCAGGCUGGUGUGGGGUUUACCUCAUCAAGUCACGGAGCGGCAAUUCCCCUGGGCCUCCUCCCUCAAGUACGAGAGGAUUUGGGAGUAAUUUCUGCAACCCUGGGGUCUUUUCUGCAAUGUGCAUGAUCAAUCCUUUGUGAUAAUCUAUGUAAGCACAGACCUCCAAUAAAUCAUUGAGCCACAGGGAUUAGAAAAGAAAGGACCUAAACUUGAGUAGAGAUGAAGAAGCAGAAUGAAAGGAAGAAGGGCUGAGAAAGAAGAGGAACCCCACAUCGAUCUCAAGGUGUAUAAAAAUAAAAGCACUAUCCCCAUCUGGAAAUACUGAGUUCCAGGAAGACAGGGACCUAAUGUGUCUUGUUGACCACUGUACCCCAAGGACUGGCAUAUGGAGGAAAUGCUGGAAUAUGCUGCUGGUAAUGGGAAAUGGUCUCUGGUUUGCAGAUGGAUAAUCAAGUUGAAAGAAGGAAAGAAAACCUCUGCAUCAGGACACAGAGCAAGAUCUCUGAUUCUCCCGGGGUGCUGUUUAAUCCGUGGUCAGAAUGCUUAUAUGUCUUCCUUUAACAAUUACUUAAAACCAGUCAAGAUCAUUCUUGGCACUUUUUUGGUUGCUUUUUCCAGCUUUGAAAUAAAGUGCAAUUUGCAUUCCUUAAAAAUCUAAGCAGUGAGGAAGAGUUAAGUGUCUUAAAAUUAAUGAGUUGCAUUUAAACUUUUGUGUGAGCUCCAAGUCUGACAGAUUGGGCGGUCUUGGAAGUGAAAUUGUUAUUCAGAAAGGAUGUGUCCUUGGUGGUCCCUAGUCGAGGAAAGUCAGUGGGAAGAAAGAAAAUGAGGAAAACCAAUUACCGCAAUUUGUACACCAAGA